GGAUGAAGAACGCAGCGAAAUGCGAUACUUGGUGUGAAUUGCAGAAUCCCGUGAACCAUCGAGUCUUUGAACGCAAGUUGCGCCCGAAGCCAUUAGGCCGAGGGCACGCCUGCCUGGGCGUCACACGUCGUUGCCCCCCCAUCUACUCCUUCGGGAUUGCGGGGGGCGGAUGAUGGCCUCCCGUGCGCCUCGUCGCGCGGUUGGCAUAAAUACCAAGUCCUCGGCGACGCACGCCACGACAAUCGGUGGUUGCGAAACCUCGGUUGCCCGUCGUGUGCGGUCGUCGCGCAUCGAGGGCUCGAAAAAAUUGCCGGGCUCCGGCUCGGCUUUCAACGCGACCCCAGGUCAGGCGGGGUUACCCGCUGAAUUUAAGCAUAUCAAUAAGCGGAGGA
This 392-nucleotide unclassified non-coding RNA is filed under the name soil metagenome. Its description in RNAcentral is "partial contains 5.8S ribosomal RNA, internal transcribed spacer 2, and large subunit ribosomal RNA". The stretch from base 2 to 123 matches the Rfam family "5.8S ribosomal RNA", at positions 35 to 154 of the family's 154-position model. The record is from RNAcentral.